ACCUCAGCAAGGCUACGCCAUCCAAAAGGGAAAUGAAUAUGAAGGACAAAACAUAAAACUAUGUACACCCCAUCUGCCUCCAAUUUUUUACUGUCUAAUGCUCAGUAUGACUCUUUACAAGUUUAUUUCAGUUCAUCUCGCCUGGGAAUGUGGUGUUUCUUCUGGACACUAUUUUUGUGGAUCAAGUGGUACAAAGCUUGGUAAGGUUUUAGUCAUGCUGGUUGCAGUUGUUAAUGUUGGUUGGACUCUGCUCCAAAUCAAGCUCAACAUCUGCUACUGGUUUCAGUUCGGUUGAGGCAGAGCGAAGGAUGAGUGUAGAACCAAAAGGAUGAGAAUAAUGUUUGGUGCAUCAAAUAGAGAAUUGUUGUUAGAGAAAGGUUUCAAACUCAACAAAUGUAAAAUUUGGUACUGUCAUGUACCAACCCAUAUUAUUUUCUCUUUUUUCUUCAAGCAGUAAGCCU
Molecule: long non-coding RNA, 461 nt
Filed under: Triticum aestivum (bread wheat)
Lineage: Eukaryota; Viridiplantae; Streptophyta; Magnoliopsida; Poales; Poaceae
Description: long non-coding RNA (TAES_LNC001748)
Source: RNAcentral